UACGUAGGGUGCGAGCGUUGUCCGGAAUUACUGGGCGUAAAGGGCUUGUAGGUGGUUUGUCGCGUUGUUCGUGAAAACUCACAGCUUAACUGUGGGCGUGCGGGCGAUACGGGCAGACUGGAGUACUGCAGGGGAGACUGGAAUUCCUGGUGUAGCGGUGGAAUGCGCAGAUAUCAGGAGGAACACCGGUGGCGAAGGCGGGUCUCUGGGCAGUAACUGACGCUGAGGAGCGAAAGCGUGGGGAGCAAACAGG
This 253-nucleotide ribosomal RNA is filed under the name uncultured bacterium. RNAcentral describes it as "partial 16S ribosomal RNA". It matches the Rfam family "Bacterial small subunit ribosomal RNA", at positions 524 to 776 of the family's 1533-position model. The record is from RNAcentral.